CCUAGUACGAGAGGACCGGAGUGGACGAACCAAUGGUGUACCAGUCAUACCGCCAGGUGUGCAGCUGGGUAGCUACGUUCGGGACGGAUAAACGCUGAAAGCAUCUAAGCGUGAAACCAGCCUAAAGAUGAGGUUUCUCAUUGAAAAAGUAAGGUCCCACAAAGACGAUGUGGUAGAUAGGCCGGGAGUGGAAGUACAGUAAUGUAUGGAGCGGACCGGUACUAAUAGACCGAGGACUUGACUUAAUAAC
The sequence is a ribosomal RNA, 250 nucleotides long. It matches the Rfam family "Bacterial large subunit ribosomal RNA", at positions 2677 to 2925 of the family's 2925-position model.